CUGGGUGAGGUAACAGUGCUAAGCAUUGAGCCACCGUGCCGCCAUUAUUGGAAAUCCUAGAGAGGCUAGGAUUUGAGGGCACAUAAUCUGAGAAUUGGAGUCAGACCUUUCAGAAAGCAAACUAGCAAAUGAACAAAGCGUGAUGCGGUUUGAGAACUCUUCCCGCAAAUGGCACUUGAUGCUGCAUCAACUGUCAAUUUGUCAACCUGAAGUUGGUAUUUCUCUCUUCAAAGUCAUAAAAAGAAUGAGUGUGGAGUGGAUCAAGGAGCGAGCUCCCAGAUCAGCUCCCACCUCCUUAAAAUGUGGCAGUGGGUCUAGAAGCUGAAUGGCGUCGUGUCGUUCCUGUGUUGGGCAAUGGUUUACUCUCUCGGGGAUGUGUGAAAGACCUGAUAGCACUGUAAUAUCAUCGAGCAGACCAGUCGAGUUGUAAGUGGGGUCAUUCAACUGGAAUUAAUCCAUUAUCACAUUAUUGUUUGAGCGAUGUUCCUGUGUCAAAUGAACAGCCUUGUUUCCGACAUGACAACAGUGAUUGCACUUGGCUGGACUGGGGCGUUGUUAGGUCCUGAAAGGCGUGAGAUACAGGCAUGUUGAUUCUUAAAGUCUGCGUGGCAGGUUCAGGGGAGCCGGAGAUUGGAAAGGAUGGCUGUGUGCCGGACUAUUUUCCGGCAUAUUUUUAAAAGCAGGGCCCGGUGCAUAGACACCUCGCAGCCGUCAGCUGAAAAUUACAGCUUGUUGCUGCACAUGGAUUGUCGGCGAGUCCUUCUUUUCCAACCUAUCACCGAACAUUGCAGAGCUGUUGUCAGACAGAGGCUCGGUUACUGCAGUAUCUGCUGAGAAAUCCCCCUCGGCAGCUGAAGGAACUUUGAACUGGCCGCCGUCAGCGUUCAACUGGAAUACAGAGUCCGAUUGCUUUCUGAAGGUGGCCCGAGGCCUUUCGGACCACUCUCUACAUCUGGACCGACGUCAGUCCCUGCCACUCCAACCAUUAAAAGAAAAGCUCCAGCAGCUCUUCAUUCUCUGAGGAUCGGAGGGAGAGAGAAAGACAGCAGGGUCCACAAAGCAGCAGACCUGUCGAAGCAAGAAGAUAGAGGAAGAUCUAACGCUGAAAUGAUUUCCCUGAUUCAAAUCAUGACCAAGAAGACUCAUGAGCUGGGUUGAAAGAUGUCUCCAGUCCUGUCCAACUAACACCAGGGGCCAAACUACUUCAGUCGAGAAUCUUCAACAGACAGAAGGGGGUUUAACGGAAAAGGGACAGGUCUGAUGAACUGGAUCUGGAAUGUUUGAUUCAACAGAUUGGUGAAUAAGGCAUAUGGAGCAAUGUUCUGUGGAUAUUCUUUCCUUUUUUUAAGAGUACCUAAUAUGCAAACUGCCCUGAUUGAGUUUCUGCAAAAUGCAAAAUCAAAGAUAAUGGACUAUGGGUGUGGUGGUUAUCAGUUUGUAAAGGCAGUUUUAUGUCUGGGGGCAAAUCUCACCGAAGUUCCAGAUUAGUGUUCUGUAAAUAAAACACAUUUCUUUCUCUUCUAACUUCAGACGAAUGAUCUUUUGAUCAGUUGAAGUAUUGCUGGAAUGAGAUACUGCUUUUGAAUGCUCCAAUAAAAUCGAUAAGGCUGA
Non-coding RNA from Chiloscyllium plagiosum (whitespotted bambooshark), 1611 nucleotides. The record is from RefSeq and is a predicted model, not a curated record. Lineage: Eukaryota; Metazoa; Chordata; Chondrichthyes; Orectolobiformes; Hemiscylliidae.